This 338-nucleotide ribosomal RNA is filed under the name uncultured Glomeromycotina. Its description in RNAcentral is "SSU rRNA". It matches the Rfam family "Eukaryotic small subunit ribosomal RNA", at positions 569 to 915 of the family's 1831-position model. Lineage: Eukaryota; Fungi; Glomeromycota. The record is from RNAcentral.
AGCAGCCGCGGUAAUUCCAGCUCCAAUAGCGUAUAUUAAAGUUGUUGCAGUUAAAAGCUCGUAGUUGAAUUUCGGGAUCAAUAUGUUGGUCGUGCCUCGGUACGUACUAGCAUAUUGGUUUCUCCUUUCUGAAGAACCAUGAUGUCAUUUAUUUGGUGUCGUGGGGAAUCAGGACUGUUACUUUGAAAAAUUGAGUGUUUAAAGCAGGCUCACGCUUGAAUACAUUAGCAUGGAAUAAUGAAAUAGGACGUUUGAUUCUAUUUUGUUGGUUUCUAGGAUCGACGUAAUGAUUAAUAGGGAUAGUUGGGGGCAUUAGUAUUCAAUUGUCUAGAGGUGAA